Molecule: ribosomal RNA, 858 nt
Filed under: uncultured Glomus
Lineage: Eukaryota; Fungi; Glomeromycota; Glomeromycetes; Glomerales; Glomeraceae
Description: eukaryotic LSU rRNA
Rfam family: Eukaryotic large subunit ribosomal RNA
Source: RNAcentral
ACCUCAAAUCAGGUAGGAGUACCCGCCGAACUUAAGCAUAUCAAUAAGCGGAGGAAAAGAAAAUAACAAUGAUUCCCCCCAGUAACUGCGAGUGAAGAGGGACAAGCUCAAAUUUUAAAUCUGUCAGGUUCUCCUGACCGAGUUGUAAUUUGAAGAAGCGUUUUCUGCGCCGUUUGAUCAGCCCAAGUCUUAUUGAAUGAGGCAUCAUGGAGGGUGAUAAUCCCGUUCGGUUGAUCAAUUGUGCUUUACGAUACGCUUUCAAAGAGUCAAGUUGUUUGGGAUUGCAGCUUAAAAUGGGAGGUAAAUUUCUCCUAAGGCUAAAUAUUGGCGAGAGACCGAUAGCGAACAAGUACCGUGAGGGAAAGAUGAAAAGAACUUUGAAAAGAGAGUUAAACAGUACGUGAAAUUGUUGAAAGGGAAACGAUUGAAGCCAGUCGUACCGGCGGGUAAUCAGCCUUUCGGGUAUGAUUCUGUGGAGCGUGAGGAGUUAAACGCCUUCAUGCCUGCAUAUUCGUGCUCUUGGGUGUACUUGCUCGUGUGGUUGGUUAACAUCAAUUACGGAUGCCAUAAAAUGGCUGGAGGAAUGUAGCUUCGAUCUCGUAUUGAAGUGUUAUAGCCUUCGGUAGAUGUGGUGAUCGGGAUUGAGGAUUGCAACGGAUACCCUUCGGGGUUACCUGUCUGAUCUCUGAUCGUUGCUCUGGUGCCGAAAGCGUGCUUACGGUUAUCAAAGUCGAUGGUUAAUAGGUUAGAACGGGUUAAAUUCGUUAAGGAUGUUGACGUAAUGGCUUUAAACGACCCGUCUUGAAACACGGACCAAGGAGUCUAACAUAUGUGCGAGUGUUUAGUAUUGGGGAUCCA